AUAGCACCUGAGUGUCAAGGAACCUGGAGGGUACUGAGCCACAAAACCAGCAACCUGAACAACAUCUUCUUGAUCUGCCUCUAAUCUCUUGACAAACGUUGGAGGUUGAAAGUAAGAGUGGAGAGGUAUCAACAGUGUUUAAUCUUUAAGCCUUCAUCUCUGUAAAGUUAUAAAGAUAAUUUUUACCAUAAUUUUUUAAUGGAAUCUAUUAAUUCUCAGAGGUAGCUCCUGCUUCUGCAUCAUGAAGGAAGUUGCACUUGUUCCCGCAGAAACAGGAUAUCAUUGACCACAUCUGACAAGACAACACAGCAAGGAAAUGGAGCACCUUCGGGACUGCAAAGAGAAUC
RNAcentral lists this long non-coding RNA (347 nucleotides) under Piliocolobus tephrosceles (Ugandan red Colobus). RNAcentral describes it as "lncRNA (ENSPTEG00000005682.1)". Lineage: Eukaryota; Metazoa; Chordata; Mammalia; Primates; Cercopithecidae. The record is from RNAcentral.